This 772-nucleotide ribosomal RNA is filed under the name Halomonas sp. Its description in RNAcentral is "bacterial SSU rRNA". It matches the Rfam family "Bacterial small subunit ribosomal RNA", at positions 76 to 850 of the family's 1533-position model. The record is from RNAcentral. Lineage: Bacteria; Pseudomonadati; Pseudomonadota; Gammaproteobacteria; Oceanospirillales; Halomonadaceae.
GCUUGCUACCCGCUGACGAGCGGCGGACGGGUGAGUAAUGCAUAGGAAUCUGCCCGAUAGUGGGGGAUAACCUGGGGAAACCCAGGCUAAUACCGCAUACGUCCUACGGGAGAAAGGGGGCUUCGGCUCCCGCUAUUGGAUGAGCCUAUGUCGGAUUAGCUAGUUGGUAAGGUAAUGGCUUACCAAGGCAACGAUCCGUAGCUGGUCUGAGAGGAUGAUCAGCCACAUCGGGACUGAGACACGGCCCGAACUCCUACGGGAGGCAGCAGUGGGGAAUAUUGGACAAUGGGGGCAACCCUGAUCCAGCCAUGCCGCGUGUGUGAAGAAGGCCCUCGGGUUGUAAAGCACUUUCAGCGAGGAAGAACGCCUAUCGGUUAAUACCCGGUAGGAAAGACAUCACUCGCAGAAGAAGCACCGGCUAACUCCGUGCCAGCAGCCGCGGUAAUACGGAGGGUGCAAGCGUUAAUCGGAAUUACUGGGCGUAAAGCGCGCGUAGGUGGCUUGAUAAGCCGGUUGUGAAAGCCCCGGGCUCAACCUGGGAACGGCAUCCGGAACUGUCAGGCUAGAGUGCAGGAGAGGAAGGUAGAAUUCCCGGUGUAGCGGUGAAAUGCGUAGAGAUCGGGAGGAAUACCAGUGGCGAAGGCGGCCUUCUGGACUGACACUGACACUGAGGUGCGAAAGCGUGGGUAGCAAACAGGAUUAGAUACCCUGGUAGUCCACGCCGUAAACGAUGUCGACCAGCCGUUGGGUGCCUAGAGCACUUUGUGGCGAA